This 315-nucleotide long non-coding RNA is filed under the name Panax ginseng (ginseng). Its description in RNAcentral is "long non-coding RNA (PGIN_LNC018098)". The record is from RNAcentral. Lineage: Eukaryota; Viridiplantae; Streptophyta; Magnoliopsida; Apiales; Araliaceae.
GCGAAUUGCAUCCAUUUCAUUUGUUUUUUUUGAAUUCCUUCCAAGCAUCAUGUCCAUUAUUAUCCUAUGUACAUUUCCCAAAUUCUUCAGCCAGCCCACGAAUCUGUAGGAGCAUGCAUCCUCAUAUAGUUAUGAGCCUUAUUCUCUGUAAGAAAUAUCAAAUUAAUAGCGCAAGUACUCAAAAAGAGAUAUGUGCUAAGAAAAGUAAAUAAUUUUGGAAAAUGAUAUCUAUUACGUGAACUUUUGAUUGUCAGUUACGUGUACACGUAUUUGUGAUAAGUUUUUUGAAAAAAUGUGUAAUAAGUAGGGUCUUCA